AACGAGAAAGGGGAGCAAUCCCUGAGUACAGUGGCGACCGGGUGAGUAACACGUGACUACCUACCCUUGAGUGGGGGAUAACCUCGGGAAACCGAGGCUAAUACCGCAUAAUAUCGAGAGAUCAAAGGAGCAAUCCGCUCUUGGAGGGGGUCGCGGCUGAUUAGCUAGUUGGUGAGGUAAUGGCUCACCAAGGCGAAGAUCGGUAUCCGGCCUGAGAGGGCGCACGGACACACUGGCACUGAAACACGGGCCAGACUCCUACGGGAGGCAGCAGUGGGGAAUCUUGCACAAUGGGGGCAACCCUGAUGCAGCGACGCCGCGUGAGCGAUGAAGCCUUUCGGGGUGUAAAGCUCUUUCGACAGGAACGAUAAUGACGGUACCUGGAGAAGAAGCUGCGGCUAACUACGUGCCAGCAGCCGCGGUAAUACGUAGGCAGCAAGCGUUGUUCGGAGUUACUGGGCGUAAAGAGUGCGUAGGCGGUCCUAUAAGUUCCGUGUGAAAUCUCCCGGCUCAACUGGGAGGGUGCGCGGAAGACUGUAGGGCUUGAGUGUGGGAGAGGUAAGCGGAAUUCCUGGUGUAGCGGUGAAAUGCGUAGAUAUCAGGAGGAACACCUGUGGUGUAGACAGCUUACUGGACCAUAACUGACGCUGAGGCACGAAAGCGUGGGUAGCAAACAGGAUUAGAUACCCUGGUAGUCCACGCCCUAAACGAUGCAUACUUGGUGUGAGCCAUUCAUUUGGUUCGUGCCGGAGCUAAC
This 757-nucleotide ribosomal RNA is filed under the name uncultured bacterium. RNAcentral describes it as "bacterial SSU rRNA". It matches the Rfam family "Bacterial small subunit ribosomal RNA", at positions 65 to 856 of the family's 1533-position model. The record is from RNAcentral.